This is a long non-coding RNA of Mauremys reevesii (Reeves's turtle), 616 nucleotides long. RefSeq lists it as uncharacterized. Lineage: Eukaryota; Metazoa; Chordata; Testudines; Geoemydidae. The transcript is spliced from 3 exons. The record is from RefSeq and is a predicted model, not a curated record.
GCUGAGGGGAAUCAGAUGGCCAAGCAAUCCCCUGAGGGAGCCAAGCUGAGGAGGAACCAGCUGGGCUGGGACUAUCAAGACAGGAAAUUAGCAGCAGAAGGGGCUGCUAGGAAAGUUGGCAGUCACAGCUUGGGAGAAGAGAGGUGCAUUUGGGCUAGCAAACCCAGUGGAGUCAAGAAGCCAGGAACUGUUUAUCAUCCUGGAGCCAAUACUCUCCCAACCCUCCAAAGGCAGACUCAUGGACCAUGAAGCUAAAGAAGGCACCUCUGGGGGCACACUACCAAGGACAGAUUCGUGACAUGGUGUCUCAGGGACAGCUCCAUCGAUGUUGAGAACAAUGGACAUCCGUGGAAACAGCGCUUGGUUUACUACCUGGACCAGCUGGAGACUGGGGCAUUUACAAAGACAAACCCCAGAAGAGUCUUUGAACAGUGGGGCUCCCUGGGCUAAGAAACAAUGAACUGUAGCUGUAUAAGAGCAGAAGAAAUAGCCCAAGAGAAGAAACUCUGCCAGCGGUGGGGUGGGGUGUCACAAAAGGUGGAUCCCAGCUCUUUAAACUGGACCCGCACUACAAGGACUGACCUUGGGGUGAGAGAGACCUUAUUAGACAGGAAAG